Molecule: unclassified non-coding RNA, 18 nt
Filed under: Chlamydomonas reinhardtii
Lineage: Eukaryota; Viridiplantae; Chlorophyta; Chlorophyceae; Chlamydomonadales; Chlamydomonadaceae
Description: small RNA Cre_1715
Source: RNAcentral
GCCGGCCGACGCUGCCGG